UAGAGUUAGCUAGUAAGUAGGUUGGUGGGGUUGAAGAGGAAGCCCAGGGGAAGAGUUAGCCCUGGUAUUUUCUCCUGAGCAGAGAACUCUGACCUUCUCUGCUCACUACAGGAACCAUGGGCUGGAACCCAGAAGAGAGGAGACCCCUGACCCUUCCUAUCUCCUAUCAGGCAACAGGGAGGUGACAUGAACCCCCCUGAUGGAAGGAGCUGGGCUUUUGAAAGCCCUGAGAUGAGAGGGAGUAAGGACUACAGGGCCGAGAGUUGGGCUGAAGACCUGAAGGGCACUGGAAUAUAGUCUGCUUGGGACAUUGUUACCUGCCCUGCAGAAGGGAUGGGGACUGUAAAUGACUUGGCUGGAGGGCUCAGUCACAAGAAGAGGCAGACCACAGCAGGACUGGACUGGCUGUAGGCAAGGGUUGGUAAAUGAGGUGACCCUGCUAUGCCACACUUGGCCACAAAGGAAUGCCCCAGAGGUGAGUCAACUCUCUUGCAAGGAUGCCCUGCUUCAUUUGUUGCAGAUGUUGGAAGAUGACAUGAAUGAGGCAGGGGGCUGCAGGAAGAGAAAUGGGCUCAUGGUUAAGGAAUUGAAUGCAGCCCCUAGGAACUGGCUUCUAUCCCUACCUGUGCCACAGAGUUCCUGUGUGAUGCUGGGCAGCUGUAGCUUGGACUACUUUUCCCAGCAGGCUGUGCGGAGAGAGCAUGUCGGUAAGAAGCUGCCCUCUCCCUCCUCCCUCAGAUAAAUAAAGAAUUGUACAACUUUGCUGACACAUCAUGUGCAUUGAACUUUCAACAAGGGCAACCAUGCAAAAGGCAGAUCACUGAAAACCACCAGCAACUUACCUCCUCCAAAAUGAAACUCCAGAGAGAGACAUGCGAAAACUACAAGGCAGUUAGAUCCUGGAGUGGGGGGAAGGUUGGCAGGGCAAACAAUGCCUAAGGUUUUACAUCUUAAAUGCACAAGGAUAAGUAAUGAGGAGAUACUUUUGUGGAAGGGGAUAAAUCAAGAUUUUUGCUAGUCACUCCCCAUACCCCUACUAAGAAACUACUUUCUGAUCACACAACUAAAGAACACUCGUGUCUUGCAUAAUUUAGUUUACCACUAUAUAAAUACUCCUUUCCAGCUCUUACAGAGCCCACGGAUUGUGCGGUACUAUAUUACACUACUUUACCUGUCUACUGCAUUGACAAUUGUAUUGGCGUGUGUAGUUAAACAAAAGGUGUAUUUUUUUGUAAUGGGGUUCUUUCUAUGCAAUCUGUAUAACCUUGGUGAAAGGAGGUUUGCUUAAUUAAUUUGGAACCUGUUGGGUUGAUGGGGAUUAACACAAAUACAGAUGUAGGGGGAAGAUGAAUGUUGUUCUAGAAAAGGCUUAACAAAAAAAAUUGCAGGUUUGAAGUGGUCUUCCUUUAAACACUCUGCUCUCAAUUAUACCAUUGACUUCAAUGAAGUGAUGCCAGUAUAAAUGAAGGGAGAAUUUGCCCCAGGUUUCUAAAGGAUCCUGGUGAUGGACCUUUUCUCUACAACAAGAGAAUGAAGGUGGGUACUACAAAGAACUGAAGAAUCUGCUAGCCAGGCCUUUCCUCCUAAGGGAGUUGAUUCAAUUUACACCAUUGUGUUGAGGUGCGUGUGUGUUCAGAAGCUAGAUUUGAAUUUCUACAGCAAAAAUUCAGUGGCUGAACUUGUGUGUGUGUGUGUGUUGCAAUUGUCUUCAUAACAAAAGGUAAAAAUAGCAAAAGCAAGUCUAGUCUAUUGUCUGUUUUAUUUAAAAGGAAGGUUAGGAAGAUUGUCAUUCUCUAGGGUUGGAUUAGGGGUGAAAAUGGUCUGGUCUUACUGUAGUUGUCAUUUCUAUAUUUUAACUUUGAACCUAGGGUUUCUAGUCAUGAUUAUUUUACUUUAAAGAAACAUUAAGAUAAAACAUGUCAAAAAUAACUACUUGUGUUUGCUAAUAACCCUCUCAGUAGUUCCCACUGGAAUCAUUUUAAAUGUAGAAUUUCCUUUUCAACAUUUAUGCUUCUGGCUUUACACUUAGUCUCUCUUCCCUAUGCCAGCUAAAAUGUUUCACUUCUCUUUCUGCCGUUACCAUCAUUGCUUACAUCUAAGUUUAAGCACUGCUGAUGAAUGUUUAACUAUAUUUGUAAACUGGUUUUGUUGACAUGAAGAAUAAUCUGAGAACAUUUUUAUACACAUUGGUCAGGGAGGAUGUCACUUUAUAUGUCUGUACAGUGCCCAGCCCAUUUUGGGGAUUCUGGAAUAUAACUAAUAAAUAUUAAUGAUCAUGAGCUAG
Long non-coding RNA from Dermochelys coriacea (leatherback sea turtle), 2284 nucleotides. RefSeq lists it as uncharacterized. Lineage: Eukaryota; Metazoa; Chordata; Testudines; Dermochelyidae. The transcript is spliced from 3 exons. The record is from RefSeq and is a predicted model, not a curated record.